This is a long non-coding RNA of Gadus macrocephalus (Pacific cod), 1172 nucleotides long. RefSeq lists it as uncharacterized. The record is from RefSeq and is a predicted model, not a curated record. NCBI's taxonomy places the organism in Eukaryota, Metazoa, Chordata, Actinopteri, Gadiformes, Gadidae. The transcript is spliced from 2 exons.
GCACCACGUUUGGUCCACCCACAUUGUGUCAACAGGCACGCGACAGAAAUGGCCGAAAACGGAUUCCGGAUUUCAUGAUGAACCCGUUAAAUAGAGCAGAAUUUAACCGUUGAAAUGCACAUUAGCCUACUAGUAGCAGUUGGUUUGAUGGUCAUGCCCUUGCUUUGCCUUUGAAUACGAACUAUGUCGUCGGUGGUCGAUUCUCUUAUGAAGAUAUUUAGUAAAUCUUUCUGUCAUAACUGGGUAACAGGGGGAGCGUUCACCGACUGGGUGACCGACUCUUCCUCCGCCCCGUCUACUCUAAGUGGGAGAUUAGCAGCGGUGCUGAAUAAAUAGGGCACAGGUUUCACGGGAGGCACUCGCCUAUCUUGCUAGGACCACUCGUGGGGAUUUCUUGUGAUCUUGUCCCUCCUGCACCGUGUUGCAGAACGUUACAGUUUUCGGACGCGGUGGUCCUCUGUCUGGGUCCUGGCUCUCUGUCUUCCGGCUCUCUAUAUCUCUCUCAGCUAUACGGUCGGUGUUCUGUCCACUAGUCAAUAAUAUAAAUUAGUGUAAUCGUAUUGUAAUGACUAUGCACUCCUCUCAGGGUCUGUGGCGUUUCGUGGGGUUGCUGUUCUGUUCCCCUUGCCUGUGCGGCCCAAUCUCCCAGCUGUCGUGAGCUUCUCUCCUCGUCUCCCCGGCCUGCUCGUCCAAUCUCUGCUAGCUGUCAAGUUGGACUACUUGCUCGAGGCUUCUGCUCGGGGUGCCUGCGUGUGUAUUUGAAUGCUAGUGCAUGUCGUGGUGUUUGGGUGCUUCUCGUUGUUUUGUCGUUUUGUUUGUAUGUUUGUAUGCUAGAAUAAGCGUUGGUGGCUCUGUCGCUUGCUGGCUUCCUCCCCUGCUUGUGGCUCAAUGUAUCCCACUCUAGUUGUGUAGGCUACUUCCCUUUUUUUUUUUUUUUUUUUUUUACUUUUUUUAAUUUAGUUUGGUUUAUAUAUGAGUUUAUAUCUUGUGAUUUGCAGUGAAAAGCAUGUUUUGUUUUUGUACAGGGAUUUAUCACCCAGGAAGUAGGGCAUUCGUCGGGGUAAGCAAGGUAGCUUGAAUAGGAAGUCACCUUGCAUACUUGUGGAUCCAUGAAUUGCUAUGCUCUGUGUAUUUGAAGAUGGACAAAUAAAUUAUCUUUUGUAUCAGAUAAA